Bombyx mori (domestic silkworm) is the source of this 440-nucleotide long non-coding RNA. RefSeq lists it as uncharacterized. Lineage: Eukaryota; Metazoa; Arthropoda; Insecta; Lepidoptera; Bombycidae. The record is from RefSeq and is a predicted model, not a curated record. The transcript is spliced from 2 exons.
GAAAUUUGUGAUUAUAGAAGUAUAAAAUACAAUCAUAAUAGUGUACAAACUUACAAUUCCAAUUAAUUAUAGUCGAGUUUCGACUACUGCGGGACCUCUAGUCUACAUAAAUUUGCGUCAUAGCUCAUUGUGAUUCUUGAAAAAUUCAGUACGCGCUGUCGUAGCCUUAACAGAAGCUGCUUUCUGUGUUUGUUGCUGAAUACGAUAUCAUUUUUACUCAGCAAUUGGUGCGAAAGAUGUUUUGUAAUUACCCGACCAUUCAUCACUACGGUUUCAUUACGAUUAAAACUAUUAAUCGUUGGAGGCAGAAGACAAUCGAUCCAGACGCAUCCACUGCCGAGUCGAGCACGUAUAUAUUUCAAUGCAUUGAGAAUCGACUAGUGUGUACCUGAUUGAUUAUGUAAUAUAUAUUUUUAAAUAAAAUAUAGAACAGCUUUCUA